RNAcentral lists this long non-coding RNA (461 nucleotides) under Elaeis guineensis (African oil palm). RNAcentral's name for it is "long non-coding RNA (EGUI_LNC021612)". Lineage: Eukaryota; Viridiplantae; Streptophyta; Magnoliopsida; Arecales; Arecaceae. The record is from RNAcentral.
ACCAUAAUUCAAAUAUUUACUUAAUAAAAGAAAUAGAAGAAAUUGCAAUGCAUAAUAUCUUAUCUUCCUUUUCAAUAUCAGUUUGCCUUUAUUAUGUUCAAGUUGCCUCCAGAUCCAUGUGAUUUCGAGUUAUGAUGCUGACAUUUUCAUAUUCAAAACUUAAUAAUGAAUGCAGUUAUCAAACGAUUGGAUUAAUAAUGGAAUGAUGCAAGCUCCUUUGCUUAUGUUGCUUAUAAUCAAAUGAUAAUACAUCAGAAGGUCACAUGGGCUACAUAGGAGGUCAUAUGUAUGACAUAGGUGAAUCAGCUAAAAUGGAUCCAGGUAUUGCUCAACAACCAUCAUUGAAGGCACAAAAGUUGCCCCAUUAAUAUAAUAGUAUUUGCAACAGAUACUCUUGGAUGAAGUCUCUAUCAAAUGGAUCUUGUGGAUCUUUAAGGAUUCCUUCUGGAAGUUUUGUACUC